UGCUCUUAACUUCUAAACUAUCUCUCUGGGCCUCCUUCUAAUGUUUUGAGCAGAGAGAUACAGACUGUGUGAUAAAUUAGCUAUUCAAAACUGAAGAGGCCACACUUGGCCUCUUAGAAUCCCAGCAUUAGGGAGGUUGAGGCUAAGUUUGAGGCCACAUGUACUACACAGCAAAUCCCUGUGCCAGAAUCAACAACCAAAAUUAAGUGAAGUAAACCAAAUUUCUUUACAGAUUUAAAAAAAAAAAAAAAAGGAUAGUUAGUGAAGCUGCAGCUGGUUCCAGACUUUCCAUUUAUGCAACAAUUUCCUUAUCUGCACAGUGAAGUAGAUAAUUCUACCUGCCUCCAGAGGAAGGUGGGAUUAUGAAAUGAGAUCAUACAUCUAACUUCCAGCAAUAUGGUCCAGUGUCUGGGAUGUUGUCAGUCAAUAUGUUGUUUAUCAUUGUUCUUCUGUGCUGGGUGUGGUGCUGUAUGUCUGGUGCUUCGGAAUAUAGGAGCAUCUGGAGUUUGAGGUCGUUCUCAGCUACAUAGUGAGACUGAGCUCCUGUCUCAAUGGCCAACACCAACAGCAACAAAAUUCCUUUAUUUAGUCAUUGUGUGGCCUUAGGUUAAAGAGAAAUAAUUAUUCAGACUAUCAUCACUCUUCUCUCAUAAAUAAGAGUACAUGGGAAAACGUAGUUGAGAAUUAUGGGGAAUAUGGAGAGAGGAUGCAAAAGAGAUUAGAAAAAUAAUAUUUAUCUCCCAAGAAAUUGCUGAGGUGAUCUGUAUCAUUGAACCAUCUGUGUGGCUGGCUCUUCUGUACAGAACUAACAAAGGAGAAGUCUAUCCUGGCUCACACCUUGAACUUCUUUUCUGAGGUUCUGGUACACAAAACAGGGAUGCUGAUGGGUCUGUCUGUGGCAGGUGCCAGUCUCUGAAUGAACCAACAACAGGCACAAGAGGAAUGGGCAGUGUGAGUGGUUUCUACAUUGAUGGAGUAGGGAGCUGAACAUCCCAAGCAAUGAGUUGACCUGGAAAACUCUAACCACGGGAUAGGGGAGGCUGGGAAGUAAACAUGAUGUGUGCAGUCUCAUCAGCAGAGACGGCAAGCUGGGUUGAUUUUUCCCUGCAUCUGCAAACACAGAAGAUGGUGUUCCUUACAGAAACAUGGACAAUGUGGCUUAAAGACUCAACUACUGACCUACAAACCAAAGAGAAUAGAGAAGCAGGCAGACACAACCAUGGAUGCAUGCUCUCUGGUCACCCAGGUGUCUAUGGAUGGGUGCUAAAUUAUCUUGGGGACCCAGAAAUUCUAUGCAAGUUUGUGGGAGCAUGAGAAUCUAUAUUUUCCCAAGGAAAUGCAUGACCUUUCAUCAGAUUGUCAAAGAGCGCUGCACUCCUCCACAAAGGACUAUAAACCCCUGCUGAACCAGUGACCUAAGGUCUAUAACUAAUGCCACCCUGGGAACUUAAAGCUGAUUCAGUAAUAAAACUUUCCCAAAGACCAUAAGAAAAGGAUAAAAGGAACACCACUCUACUCAGGUAGCCCAGGUUAGCCUCCAACCUGCUAUGUCACUCAGGAUGACCUUUUACUUCUGAUCACCCUGUUUCUACCUUUCAAGCUGGGAUUACAGGCAUUACUAGCAUGUGUGGUUAUUUUAUUUUAUUUUAUUUUUUAUGUAGGGUAUGAACUUCAUGCAUGAGAGACAAGCACUCUCCCCACUGGGCUCCAUCCCCAGCCCCUAAUUGCUUCCUAAGCAGACUGUCUUAUUCUCUUUUUGUUUUGUCAAAUUCAUGUUUCUUGUUUACUGAAUAGUCUUCCUUAAAUGUGUUCACUCUUCAAACUUAAAUGCCUAUGUUAGCUACAGCCUAAGCAAGAUAUCUGUGAAACUGGGAGUAUAUUGUACUCCUGGCAUUCCCCUGCCCCUGCCCCGUUUAUAGAAGAAAAAUGCAUUGUGGUGAAAUGUGAAAAUGUGGUGUUUGUAUUGUUUCCCAGAUCAUGCAGAACACAGAGGUGGUCUUGUGGUGCUGAAAAUGGUUGAAGAUAUUCUAAGCUCCCCAUCUGGCAUCCAUUGUUCAGAGGAGGAACCUGGGGCAUGAGCCAAUUAAUGCACUUAUUAAAGAAGCUGAACAAAUAUGAGGAAAGUUAAGCCAGUUCCAAAACCUGUCCCCUAUUAUGCAGUGCAAACGAGAACAGAUGGGGAAAAGUUAUGUUGGAAAGGGCUUUGGAGGGCCACAGAGAAGAGAAAUAUGACUACUCAAUGUGUCACACACCAACUUGCAGCUGCCACCAGCCCUUCCCCACACGAGCUGCGUAUGGAAGCAGCCCGUGGAGCUCAGAAGGAGCAGGCGCACUGCAGGAAGGGGGUGCAAUUAGAGAACAUUGGCUGCGCUUGUGCUGCCUUGAAAAUAGGAAUCAAGAGUGGUGCAGCAGCUCAGCCAACAAAAGAGAGUCAACCCCAAGGCUAGCCUGCAAAAUGCUGAGCUGCACCCCGAGCAAUCCCAAACGUGAACUGGGAAUUGGCACAAUGCAGCCUAUCUCUACCAAAGAAAUGCCCCUGCAUGUCUCAACGCCACCAUUCAGGACUCUCUGCAUCUAGGACUUUUUCGAGAAAGGUCAUAUUGGCUCACAUGCCUGAUGUGGCCUUCCACAACCCCUCCAAAACCAAGAGAAAAGGUUCAUGUGGCUUCGAUGAUUUGAUUCAACUAGUGAAUGACUAAGGCCACAGAAAUAGCAUCUCUGAAGAAAUCCUAAUGCUGCAAACACUUGGACAAUUGACUCCAGCGGGAACCUCCUCUGAAACUGUACCUCUCAGUGUAGAGCGAGUGUGCAAAUAUUUGGUGUCAUUUUGAUAAAGAGAUGAUUUUUUUUUAACAGGGGCAUUUAAAAUGCAGUUAGUUACCCAAGCCUGCCUCAGAGUAUUUUUUCAGCAUAUCUAGAGUAAAGCUGGGAUCCACAGUUAAAAUAAAAAUGAUUUGGCCAACAGGAUGGCAGAGGCAGUAAAAGUGCCUGCCGCCAAGCCCUAAAACCUACCUGGGUUCAAUCCUUGGACCCACUGAGUGGAAAGAGAGACCUGGCUUCUGUGAGUUGCUCUCUGACCUCUACACAUGUGCACACAUGCCCCCAGUAGAUAAAUAAAUGUCAUGUGAAAAGAUUUAAAUGACUGUUGAGGGGUGACUCACCGGCUCAGCAGGUAAAGGCACUUGCUUCACAGGCAUGGUGACCGGAGUGUCACCCCCAGAGCCACGUAAGGUGGAGGGGAGAACAAGCUCCAAGUUCAUACAUUGCCCUUUCACCUCCACACUCAAGCCAUGACACACUCCCACCUCAU
Onychomys torridus (southern grasshopper mouse) is the source of this 3310-nucleotide long non-coding RNA. RefSeq lists it as uncharacterized. NCBI's taxonomy places the organism in Eukaryota, Metazoa, Chordata, Mammalia, Rodentia, Cricetidae. The record is from RefSeq and is a predicted model, not a curated record. The transcript is spliced from 3 exons.